Molecule: non-coding RNA, 23 nt
Filed under: Arabidopsis thaliana (thale cress)
Lineage: Eukaryota; Viridiplantae; Streptophyta; Magnoliopsida; Brassicales; Brassicaceae
Source: RNAcentral
UACCAACUGACACCUCGUUCCUA